Molecule: long non-coding RNA, 1524 nt
Filed under: Anser brachyrhynchus (Pink-footed goose)
Lineage: Eukaryota; Metazoa; Chordata; Aves; Anseriformes; Anatidae
Description: lncRNA (ENSABRG00000009536.1)
Source: RNAcentral
GUAAAACCAAAUUCAUUGCACUCCGCAUGAGUUUUGAGUCUUUCAGAGCUUUCACUUAAAAAAUCAUUAAGAAAUAACCAUUCUAGGCAGAGCUCUGACCAGCUGGCAUGUUGGCUACCAACCCUUUCAGAAAUAGGAUUUAAGGGCUUUCAUAUGUUUGCAAACCAGCCACUCUUGAUAUGUGUGAACUGUCCUUCUCUCCUCCUUCCAUCCCACCUUGUGUAUAAAAAUACCAGACUGUUAAUCCUAGAAAAUACUUCAGCAUUUUGAACAGUUGCUUCAAAACUACUUUUACUGCAAAUAUUGCCUAAGCAAUUAAUACACCCAAUUUCUAAUUCAAUAAAUAGAAGUUGUCCACAGAAACCUCCUUGUGAAGAUUAUAGGAAGUGGGAAAAAUUAAACUUUGGAGAUGGUUAUAGAUGUGCAAGGUGAUGGGCCAUUCUUUCAUUCUUUUCAAAACAUCCGUGUAAGUUAAAGAUGUUAAAACAAUAAUAAAUUCAUUUCUGAGUAAAGUAAUCUGCCAUACACCAACUGAAAGUAUUACUUCUAUAAGGCAGUAUUGCACUUAAGUGAUAGUAAAGGUACUUUGAAAUGUAGCAACUUGGUCUGGUGUUAUUGUAUGCUUUGCUUUGAAUACUGAACACCUUCUGUAUGUACAAAUAUGGGGACAGUGUGAUGAUGGUACAUGGCGCGUUAAACUUCAUUUUCCAAUUGAAAUUCACUUGUUAACAAUAUUAAAACAGGUACUGUAUUAAUGAGUUUGCUCAAAAUUCCACUUUAGUGGCUUCUCUGAAAUUCUGUUAUCGUCACAGCCGGUAUCAACCACCUCAGACUCAGUUCUCUCUGUUUUCCAUGCCUGUGGUGCCUCUCCGCUGGCCUCCGGUCAGAGCUGUGCCUGCCCUCUCCCAACCUCGGGUGCUCACCUGCUGGCUCCCAUUUGCGUUUCCUGGCUCCUGUGCGUGGCCAGUUCACCUCCACAUACACCAAAUGGGCUGGAGGGUUGUAUCAGUCCUCUGAGCAUCACUGAACAUUUCAAGACGAGUUGUUUAUGAAGCAUGAUCCCAGCAGAUCCUCCACAAGAACAAAAAGGUAUUAUUCAUAUUUAACAACAUGAAGACAGAGUUAAUGUUUAGUUUAGAUGCCUGAAUAGGCUACAGACUUACUGCCAGCUGCUUUCUUUAAAAACAUUUUACUGUGUUUUCUCUGUCUUAUGCUAGUGGCAUGCAGGUCUCAAAAGGAAGAGAAGAGGGUAAGUUUAAUCUUUUUUUUCCUUGCCUCUCAGAUCAGGGAGGUUUUGUUCCACUUCUGUCAAAGGCUCUGACAGGUGUUCUUCCUGCAGACCUUCAUAAAUAGUUUUAAAAAUCUGUGUGGCAUUCACCUGCCUUUUAUUUUCCUUUUAAGUUUUGGUCUUAAUUGGGAUCCAUGUAGACAUUUAUUUAGUUUGUUUUAUUGAGCGGCAGCAGAGCAGAGUAUUCCCUCCCACGGAGGUGGGCUCGGGAGAGGACCUGAGGGCAGGUAGUUCUG